Molecule: ribosomal RNA, 1047 nt
Filed under: uncultured bacterium
Lineage: Bacteria
Description: bacterial SSU rRNA
Rfam family: Bacterial small subunit ribosomal RNA
Source: RNAcentral
ACUCCUACGCGGAGGCAGCAGUGGGGAAUUUUCCGCAAUGGGCGCAAGCCUGACGGAGCAAGACCGCGUGAGGGAGGAAGGCUCUUGGGUUGUAAACCUCUUUUAUCAGGGAAGAAGAUCUGACGGUACCUGAUGAAUCAGCAUCGGCUAACUCCGUGCCAGCAGCCGCGGUAAUACGGAGGAUGCAAGCGUUAUCCGGAUUUAUUGGGCGUAAAGCGUCCGCAGGUGGUUUUUCAAGUCUGCUGUUAAAGCGCAGAGCUUAACUCUGUAACGGCGGUGGAAACUGAGAGACUAGAGUAUGGUAGGGGUUGCGGGAAUUCCCAGUGUAGCGGUGAAAUGCGUAGAUAUUGGGAAGAACACCAGCGGCGAAAGCGCGCAACUGGGCCAUUACUGACACUCAUGGACGAAAGCUAGGGGAGCGAAAGGGAUUAGAUACCCCUGUAGUCCUAGCUGUAAACGAUGGGUACUAGGUGUUGACCGUAUCGACCCGGUCAGUGCCGUAGCUAACGCGUUAAGUACCCCGCCUGGGGAGUAUGCACGCAAGUGUGAAACUCAAAGGAAUUGACGGGGGCCCGCACAAGCGGUGGAGUAUGUGGUUUAAUUCGAUGCAACGCGAAGAACCUUACCAGGGCUUGACAUGUCGCGAAUCUCGGUGAAAGUCGAGAGUGCCUUCGGGAGCGCGAACACAGGUGGUGCAUGGCUGUCGUCAGCUCGUGUCGUGAGAUGUUGGGUUAAGUCCCGCAACGAGCGCAACCCUCGUUUUUAGUUGCCAGCAUUUAGUUGGGCACUCUAGAGAGACUGCCGGUGACAAACCGGAGGAAGGUGGGGAUGACGUCAAGUCAGCAUGCCCCUUACGUCCUGGGCUACACACGUACUACAAUGCUUCGGACAAAGGGUUGCGAGCUAGCGAUAGCAAGCUAAUCCCGUAAACCGAGGCUCAGUUCAGAUUGCAGGCUGCAACUCGCCUGCAUGAAGGAGGAAUCGCUAGUAAUCCCAGGUCAGCAUACUGGGGUGAAUACGUUCCCGGGCCUUGUACACACCGCCCGU